This 469-nucleotide ribosomal RNA is filed under the name uncultured bacterium. RNAcentral's name for it is "bacterial SSU rRNA". It matches the Rfam family "Bacterial small subunit ribosomal RNA", at positions 28 to 507 of the family's 1533-position model. The record is from RNAcentral.
GAUGAACGCUGGCGGCGUGCUUAACACAUGCAAGUCGAACGAAGAUGCCGGAGUGCUUGCACUUUGGCAGACUGAGUGGCGGACGGGUGAGUAACGCGUGGGUAACCUGCCUUAUACAGGGGGAUAACAGUUGGAAACGACUGCUAAUACCGCAUAAGCGCACGGUAUCGCAUGAUACAGUGUGAAAAACUCCGGUGGUAUAAGAUGGACCCGCGUCUGAUUAGCUAGUUGGUGAGGUAACGGCCCACCAAGGCGACGAUCAGUAGCCGGCCUGAGAGGGUGAACGGCCACAUUGGGACUGAGACACGGCCCAAACUCCUACGGGGAGGCAGCAGUGGGGAAUAUUGCACAAUGGGGGAAACCCUGAUGCAGCGACGCCGCGUGAGUGAUGAAGUAUUUCGGUAUGUAAAACUCUAUCAGCAGGGAAGAUAAUGACGGUACCUGACUAAGAGCACCGGCUAAAAUCGUG